UACGUAGGGGGCAAGCGUUGUCCGGAUUUAUUGGGCGUAAAGAGCGUGUAGGCGGCUUUACAGGUCCGUUGUGAAAACUCGAGGCUCAACCUCGAGACGUCGGUUGAAACCGUGUGGCUAGAGUCCGGAAGAGGAGAGUGGAAUUCCCGGUGUAGCGGUGAAAUGCGCAGAUAUCGGGAAGAACACCCGUGGCGAAGGCGGCUCUCUGGGACGGUACUGACGCUGAGACGCGAAAGCGUGGGGAGCGAACAGG
Molecule: ribosomal RNA, 253 nt
Filed under: uncultured bacterium
Lineage: Bacteria
Description: partial 16S ribosomal RNA
Rfam family: Bacterial small subunit ribosomal RNA
Source: RNAcentral